AUGGAGCCACUGUUCGCCAUUUUUGGAGGGGAACCAGGAGCCUUCCCAUGUCAGUACCUAGGACUCCCUCUCGGGACCCGGAAGCCGAGGAGGGUUGAGCUGCAGCCGUUGCUUGAUAAGAUUGCUGGAAGACUAUCUAACAGAAAGGGGAGGAUGAUGAACCGUAUGGGUAGGCUGGUGUACAUUAACUCGGUGGUCACAGCCACGGCUACCUAUUAUCUAACGGCCUUCCAGCCGGACAAGUGGCUGAUCAAGAAAAUGGACAAACUUAGGAAGAAUUUCCUUUGGGAUGCGGACGAUGGAAACAUUGGGGGAAAGAGCUUGGUUAACUGGAGACAAGUUUGCACACCAAAACAAUAUGGUGGCCUGGGGGUGAAGAACAUUGAGUGCUUUGGCCGGGCAUUGAGGCUUCGCUGGGAGUGGUUUAGAUGGGGAGAGGAGGACGGGCCGUGGAAGGGCUAG
Molecule: ribosomal RNA, 462 nt
Filed under: Triticum aestivum (bread wheat)
Lineage: Eukaryota; Viridiplantae; Streptophyta; Magnoliopsida; Poales; Poaceae
Description: partial small subunit ribosomal RNA
Source: RNAcentral